Molecule: long non-coding RNA, 1312 nt
Organism: Dreissena polymorpha
Lineage: Eukaryota; Metazoa; Mollusca; Bivalvia; Myida; Dreissenidae
Exons: 3
Source: RefSeq, a predicted model, not a curated record
UUACAUCUGUUAGAAGUUAGAAGUAGACUAUACAAUUGUUUAAGAAAUUUGGUCAUACGUUUUUUUAACGAAAUAUAGUCGAAGUGCAUAAACAAUUUAUACUUGUUUACAAUUAAGCAUCUAGAAAAAGAAAAAAAAGAACAUCAGGUGAAUGUAGUCGGAAUUUACAACUCAUUUGAAAGAACAUGCUACGAAUCAAACACUACAAUAAUGUACAUUAGAAUAAGUGAUUAAAUCGUACAACAAUAAUAGAAGUUAAAUUGCGUAUAACAAGUAUGUUCAUUGGAUAAUUUAAUCUCAUAGAGUCGAAGAGGUGGAUUUUAAUCGAAUUCGUUUUCUUGAGUAUGUAAUCAGUGGCAUGCAGCCUGUGAUGUAAUUAUUUUUAGAACAAUCGAUGUACCCAAUUGACCUGACCUACAUGCCGAAAUCGAGAUCGCGUGUAGAUCAGAGUUGGGUGUGUGUAAGCAGUGUGUUUAUGAAUGAAAUUGGAAAGUUUUGCACGUGCUCUGCAAAUAUUCACAUGCGGGAUUACUAAUUUGGAUUUGCCCUAAAUUGCAGGUUUGAAGUUCAAGGACAACACAGAGUGGCCAUCAGAGAACAAAGGGUCAAGUUCUACGAUUUCAAAGCUGUGAACGGACGUUUUGCACGGAGAGGCGUUACGGGGAGUGUACGGGGAGCGGGAAUUGGGGAGUGCACAGUGUACAUCAACGCCAUUUGUUCUGGGCAAGGUAGCGCCAAUGAAUACGUUUGACUGGCGAUCCUUGGGAUUUAAAAUUGUAUUGUCGCUCGCAACAUUGGGAGUGUUGGAUUCUUUAUGCAUCCGAUUGGUUUGCGCGUCUAGUGUGCGCUGUAGCGCUUGUGUGUGGCGGCAGUGGCGUGUUUUGGAAGACGAUGGAUAGCUUAGGCAUGCAUCGCAUAUAUAUGUGGUGAUUGAGGAGUAAGGCGUAUCUGGUAAAAAGUGUACGUUACUGGAUACAAGACUGAGACUGUGAGUGUUAUUUGGGAAGGACUCUACGUUUAUGUACGUAUCGGCUGCGGGAGUGCAUUGUGCGAGGGUUGAAUUGUCAUUGAAAAUGAUUGGAGACUGAAUGACAUUAUCAAAAAUGGAGUUAAAAAUGGAAUUUCUUACAGAGUAACAUUUAAACGUUGUUUUAUGUUGAUCAUAUUCUAUGUUAUUAUUAGGGUUAGCAAAUACAUGGUCACAAAUGGUUUCACAAGUAUUAUAAGAAUAUUCAUUAUGUUUAACAAAUUGUUUUUUGCUAACAAAUAUAUUGUCAGUGACAUUUGAUGAUAAAGCUUUGUCAAAACCGUC